ACGUUGCCACGUUGUCAAGCAGGAAGGGUUAGCACGAGAAGAGUGCGGGGCCCGCAGAAUGUGAUGGACGGGAUCGGUGGUGACCGAUGGCCGCGGCCCACCGGUUUGAUUUACUUUUGGGUACGCGUUUUGUAUGUAUUGGUUGGAAAGGUGGGUCCACGUUCUGUGGUAAGUAAUACUGCAAUCAAACAACGGCACAC
RNAcentral lists this long non-coding RNA (200 nucleotides) under Elaeis guineensis (African oil palm). Its description in RNAcentral is "long non-coding RNA (EGUI_LNC036060)". The record is from RNAcentral. Lineage: Eukaryota; Viridiplantae; Streptophyta; Magnoliopsida; Arecales; Arecaceae.